RNAcentral lists this ribosomal RNA (497 nucleotides) under uncultured bacterium. RNAcentral describes it as "partial 16S ribosomal RNA". It matches the Rfam family "Bacterial small subunit ribosomal RNA", at positions 28 to 507 of the family's 1533-position model. The record is from RNAcentral.
GAUGAACGCUGGCGGCGUGCCUAAUACAUGCAAGUCGAGCGAACGGACGAGAAGCUUGCUUCUCUGAUGUUAGCGGCGGACGGGUGAGUAACACGUGGAUAACCUACCUAUAAGACUGGGAUAACUUCGGGAAACCGGAGCUAAUACCGGAUAAUAUUUUGAACCGCAUGGUUCAAAAGUGAAAGACGGUCUUGCUGUCACUUAUAGAUGGAUCCGCGCUGCAUUAGCUAGUUGGUAAGGUAACGGCUUACCAAGGCAACGAUGCAUAGCCGACCUGAGAGGGGGAUCGGCCACCCUGGAACUGAGCCACGGUCCAGACUCCUACGGGAGGCAGCAGUAGGGAAUCUUCCGCAAUGGGCGAAAGCCUGACGGAGCAACGCCGCGUGAGUGAUGAAGGUCUUCGGAUCGUAAAACUCUGUUAUUAGGGAAGAACAUAUGUGUAAGUAACUGUGCACAUCUUGACGGUACCUAAUCAGAAAGCCACGGCUAACUACGUG